RNAcentral lists this ribosomal RNA (39 nucleotides) under uncultured Glomeromycotina. Its description in RNAcentral is "partial 5.8S ribosomal RNA". The record is from RNAcentral. Lineage: Eukaryota; Fungi; Glomeromycota.
CAAACUUGGUCAUUUAGAGGAAGUAAAAGUCGUAGCAAG